UAGACACCCUUGAUAAAGAUAAUGACUGUAUAAAUAAAUAAUUUUAAUACUGAGCUCUAUCUGCUCAACAUGUACAUUAUAUUAUUUUAUACUAAUACGAUUGAUCUGAUUAAAAUAUUUAGUUUAACAAGUAGUAUUUAUUUUCUAAAUGAUUGACCCCCCUAUAAACUAGUCAGAAGAUCAGUAUCGGGUUCUAUAUUCAUAGCAAUGACAUCAUCACACUGUAGAUUCAGGGCUGUCAAUCAUUUUGACCCCUAACCUUUUACCACAAAAAUACAUUACAAAAAAAUAUCUGAGCAAUUAUAUUAUUAUUAUUAUUAUUAUUAUUUUAAAAUAAUAUCAUUUACAAUUUAUUUUGAGCAUACAAUAGGUCAGAACUUUAUUUAUUUAUUUAAUAUAGUCAUGAUCCUCAGCAAGGGUGUCAAUAAUUUUUAACAAUUGUAUUAGUUUAAAAUAUGAUCAUUUACAAUUUAUUUUUGAGCAUAGUCAGUAUUUAUUUAUUAUUGCUAAUCUUCAGCAAGGAUGUCAAUAACUUCUGACCCCUCUGUAUAUAAUCAAGGUGAAAACUAAACAAGUAGAGCAAAAAUAAACACUUCAAAGUCAAAUAAGAAACUGGCACAUUGACAUGAAGCUACAAUAGAAGCUGACAGGUUGAAGCUACGAUAGAAGCUGACAGGUUGAAGCUGAAGCUACGAUAGAAGCUGACAGGUUGAAGCUACGAUAGAAGCUGACAGGUUGAAGCUACAAUAGAAGCUGACAGGUUGAAGCUACAAUAGAAGCUGACAGGUUGAAGCUACAAUAGAAGCUGACAGGUUGAAGCUACAAUAGAAGCUGACAGGUUGAAGCUACAAUAGAAGCUGACAGGUUGAAGCUACAAUAGAAGCUGAAGCUGACAGGUUGAAGCUACAAUAGAAGCUGACAGGUUGAAGCUACAAUAGAAGCUGACAGGUUGAAGCUACAAUAGAAGCUGACAGGUUAAAACUACAAUAGAAGCUGACAGGUUGAAGCUACAAUAGAAGCUGACAGGUUGAAGCUACAAUAGAAGCUGACAGGUUGAAGCUACGAUAGAA
Oncorhynchus tshawytscha (Chinook salmon) is the source of this 1070-nucleotide long non-coding RNA. NCBI's taxonomy places the organism in Eukaryota, Metazoa, Chordata, Actinopteri, Salmoniformes, Salmonidae. The record is from Ensembl.